CCAACAUCAGAAUAGUGGAUGAAGCCCACACUAAAAUGUAAGUGGUACAGUAAAUGGACCCCCCCCCCCUUUGACACUGAACAGUUGGGAGGAAAGGGGGGGGGGGGAGUGUGGCUUAUAGUUGUAUUGCUACAGAAUCUUUUGCCAUAAACCAGUGGCACAGCCUAUUGGCACUUGCUAUUCAGAAUCUUCCCCCUUACAUAGUUAAUUAAAAAGGAAAUGCUGUAGACAAGCUUAAUUUUUUGAAGGGGGGGGGGGCAACAUUUUCGUUGCCAUCAAAGCACAUCAAAGAUGCUGAGCUAACUUCCCCUAGUCAUUAGUGAAUGGUGGCUAGUAACUCUAAUAGGAACUUUACUACCAUUAGAAUCUAUGCAGAAAGUGUGCACUUCUGCUGUAUUUGCCAGUUUACUAGAAAUUGAAAUUGGCAUACUUGCUCAGUAACUACUUGGCCUCUUGUACCAUGUUACUCAACCAUAACAUCACACCACCCAUUCUUCUAAAAUAACACCCCAUAUGAUAAAAACUUCUGCUUUUAAUAAAUAUUUCAAACUUUAAUAUUAGUUGGCUUGCAAGGUGUGUUAAUCAUUCCCUUGGCAGAACUGUAGCAGGUCCAUAAAGAAAUUUAUAAUAAAGACCAAGUGUGGUCAUAAGUGCUGCAGAUGGGGGAGAUAGAGCCUUACACCUGCAGAAGUUUGGUGAUAACUGGAAAGGAUAUGGCCUUGUAUAGUUGCUAGUGUAAAUAUUACUAAAUUUAGUAAAAUCACAUUGUCUUGGUAGUAUAGUUGGGUUAAUUAUGAAUUUUCAGACUAAAAAGCUUGGUACAUAACUUUCAACAGAAUAAAUUUGUCCAUCUAGUAGUAAGCAGUGGUUGUAAAAGAAUAGAUUUGUAUAUAUAAAUUUUGUAUCGCUUUUAUUCAAAUGUUAUACAUAGUUUAAGUUUGUUUGCAAUGUUCCAGAAAAAUAACGUUCAUAACUAAAGUUGUUAAAAAAUAAAAUUUUUAUAAGAUGUUGACUUUAAAUGACUAUACCUUUGUUUGUAAAUAAUAGAUGGGACAAAGAUACUUAGUGCCAUUUAAAACGGCGACUGUUAAACUGGUGGUACAGGUAUGAACAAAAUAACAUUGCUAUGCAAAUAAGUUUUUAGUAACAUUUACUGUUCACAUGACAGGUUGUGGAAGGUCCUGGCAAGAAAGAGCUGCAGAAAAAUACUUGCAGAUCUAGAAAUGUGGUUUGGAAAGUCCAGAAGUCCCUCUGUCAGUUAAUUAACUGACAGAGUUAAUUGCUUCAACAGAAUCAGAUGAUCAUGCAUGGACUGGCUUGGAGUGAGGCUCCUUUACUCUGC
This is a non-coding RNA of Procambarus clarkii (red swamp crayfish), 1342 nucleotides long. The record is from RefSeq and is a predicted model, not a curated record. Lineage: Eukaryota; Metazoa; Arthropoda; Malacostraca; Decapoda; Cambaridae.